CCCAGCCGCACAAGAAGGUGCACGCUGACUCUUCCCAGGCAGGCUCGGAGUAGAGGUUUCCAUUUCCUGAAACCCUGCCCAUCAGAGGCAGCCUGUUUCCAAUUACCAUACCUACUGGUCAUUAGAUGAGAACAGGCUGAACACAUCGCAGGCCCUAGCACUGCUGGGUUGUCCUGGAAGCUUUAACCUCAUUACUGUAUUAAUCGAUAUUUUGGAGAUGAACUUUUGACCCAAUGCUCAUCCAGCAUCCUUUCCUCCUGGACACUUCCCUCGAAGGCAGCGUGAAGCAGAAAGAUCUGGAGUGAACCCUGACAGGCAGAGGUGGCCCUGUCUGCAGAAGAUCAGCCUUCUCACCUUACAUGGAUUCAAUCUUCAUCCAGCCAAAGGGAUCAAACUCAGGACCUUGUGUUUUCCAGGCAGGUGUGGUGCUGCUGAGCUACAUCAC
This 445-nucleotide long non-coding RNA is filed under the name Heterocephalus glaber (naked mole-rat). RNAcentral's name for it is "lncRNA (ENSHGLG00000037935.1)". The record is from RNAcentral. Lineage: Eukaryota; Metazoa; Chordata; Mammalia; Rodentia; Bathyergidae.